This 400-nucleotide unclassified non-coding RNA is filed under the name Hevea brasiliensis (rubber tree). Lineage: Eukaryota; Viridiplantae; Streptophyta; Magnoliopsida; Malpighiales; Euphorbiaceae. The record is from RNAcentral.
AAAAAAAACGUUCAAGAAAAUAAUGUAAAGACAAAUAAGGGCUUGUUAAUUCCUAGUCUAGGAUAUCCAAAGUGGUUUGGUGUUUGACGUCAUCAGCCAAAAGAGAGCAGCCUGUAUGCUACAUACCUUUUCCAGAUCCUUACCUAGAGGUAGAUGGUGGCAAUAGUAUGAUCAGAAAUAGUCACCUGCUGUUCUUCUUGUUUAAUUUGAUGACUAAAAUUUAAAUUAUUUUUCUUGGCAGUUGUUUCUGAUAGGAGACUGACCACGUAUAUUUUUAAAUUGGCAGUAUGAUCUCUCUGUUUUUGUUAAUGUGAUAUUUAUCUGAAUGUUUAGGAUACUCAUGCAAUUAAUAUCUAAUAGUAAGUUGUGCUAUUUAUUUCAGGCACUGGACUUGAUAAGG